This 253-nucleotide ribosomal RNA is filed under the name uncultured bacterium. RNAcentral describes it as "partial 16S ribosomal RNA". It matches the Rfam family "Bacterial small subunit ribosomal RNA", at positions 524 to 776 of the family's 1533-position model. The record is from RNAcentral.
UACGAAGGGGGCUAGCGUUGCUCGGAAUUACUGGGCGUAAAGCGCACGUAGGCGGCUCUUUAAGUCGGAGGUGAAAUCCUGGAGCUCAACUCCAGAACUGCCUUCGAUACUGGCGAUCUUGAGUCCGGGAGAGGUGAGUGGAACUCCGAGUGUAGAGGUGAAAUUCGUAGAUAUUCGGAAGAACACCAGUGGCGAAGGCGGCUCACUGGCCCGGUACUGACGCUGAGGUGCGAAAGCGUGGGGAGCAAACAGG